CCUACGGGACGCAGCAGUGGGGGAUAUUGCACAAUGGGGGCAACCCUGAUGCAGCGACGCCGCGUGAGCGAUGGAGUACUUCGGUAUGUAAAGCUCUGUCAGCAGGGAAGAGAAUGACGGUACCUGACCAAGAAGCCCCGGCUAAAUACGAACCAGCAGCCGCGGUAAUACGUGUAGCGCAAGCGUUAUCCGGAUUUACUGGGUGUAAAGGGAUCGUAGGCGGCAGAGCAAGCCUGAUGUGAAAGCCCGG
Molecule: ribosomal RNA, 250 nt
Filed under: uncultured bacterium
Lineage: Bacteria
Description: partial 16S ribosomal RNA
Rfam family: Bacterial small subunit ribosomal RNA
Source: RNAcentral